GAGUUGUAGCGUCCCCUGGGGUCUGUUCUGGAGGAGGCCUGAGAGCGGGGUUGCCUGGGGCGUGGGUCUCUCAUCCCUCUCGUCCUGGUGAAGAAGAAUAGUAUACCCAGCGGCAGCUGGCUUGGCUUUUUCAGAGGAAACAGAGACUCUCAGACAUGAAUACUGUGACACUGACCACCAGGCCAACUUAACAUCAGCAGAUAUCCUGUCUCAGAUGAAGAGAAUGGCCUGUCCAGAAGACAGCCAAAUACAUCCUUCAAACAGACUUCACUGCAGGAGACAGAGUGGAUUCAUCCUGUAUUCUCCAUGUAGACUUCCAUCUUCAUGAGUACUCCAAGAAGAUGGUUCAGUUGACUAUUGCAAAGUCUCAGGUAUGUCUUUAUCAGCAGCAUGAAAAUGGACUAAUAGUACCAGUAGAGUGGGGCAUUGCUGAAAAGAUACCCGAAAAUGUGGAAGCAACUUUGGAACUGGGUGUUGAAAUAAUCUGGAGGGCUCAGAAGAAGAUAGGAAAAUGUAGGAAAGUUUGGAACCUCCUAGAGACUGUGAAUGGCAUUGACAAAAAUACUGAUAGUGAUAUGAACAAUAAGGUCCAGGCUGAGGUGGUCUCAGAUGGAGAUGAAGACCUUGUUGGGAACUGAAGUAAAGGUGACCCUUGUUAUGUUUUAGCAAGGAGACUGGCAGCAUUUCACCCUUGCCCUAGAGAUUUGUGGAACUUAGAGCUUGAGAGAGAUGACUUAGGGUAUCUGGUGGAAUAAAUUUCUAAGCAGCAAAGCAUUCAAAAGGUGACUUGGGUGCUGUUAAAAACAUUCUGUUUUAAAAGGGAAACAAGAGCAUAAGUGUGGAAAAUCUGCAGCCUGAUGAUGCAGUAGAAAAGAAAAACCCAUUUUUUUUAAGGAGAAAUUCAAGCUGGCUGCGGAAAUUUGCAUAAGCAGCAAGGAGCCUAAUGUU
RNAcentral lists this non-coding RNA (948 nucleotides) under Pan troglodytes (chimpanzee). The record is from RNAcentral. Lineage: Eukaryota; Metazoa; Chordata; Mammalia; Primates; Hominidae.